UACGUAGGAGACGAGCGUUGUCCGGAGUUACUGGGCGUAAAGGGUGCGCAGGCGGCCUGGCGCGUCGCGAGUGAAAUCUCCCGGCUCAACUGGGAGGGUGGUCGCGAGACGGCGAGGCUUGAGGCUCGGUGAGGGGCGUGGAAUUCCGGGUGGAGCGGUGAAAUGCGUAGAUAUCAUUUGGAACGCCAAUGGUGAAAACAGGUAGCUGGGGAUGUGCUGACGCUGAGACACGAAAGCCAGGGGAGCAAACGGG
Molecule: ribosomal RNA, 253 nt
Filed under: uncultured bacterium
Lineage: Bacteria
Description: partial 16S ribosomal RNA
Rfam family: Bacterial small subunit ribosomal RNA
Source: RNAcentral